ACUGAACAGCUAGAACUUGGAUCGUUUAUGGAUUCUGACCUCAGAUCCCCCUCACUUGACUUACGCCUCAACCGUCAGAGAUGGUUGAGCCCGGCCCUUCUCUUGCAUCUCUAAAGGAACUACGAAGCAGAGAAAAUGGAGACAGGAUUCAUCAGCUCCGUGAAGUUUGGCUUUUUUAAAAAGGGUGCCAACGUCCAAGAGAAAGACAUCACUGGAAAUUCAUCUGGCGCCUUCUUUUGCCUCUUCCAUGCCUCCAUGAAAACCUAGAUCGCUCCAUUUUUCUGGGGUGGGGGGGAAU
Molecule: long non-coding RNA, 298 nt
Filed under: Pogona vitticeps (central bearded dragon)
Lineage: Eukaryota; Metazoa; Chordata; Lepidosauria; Squamata; Agamidae
Description: lncRNA (ENSPVIG00000007607.1)
Source: RNAcentral